This 468-nucleotide ribosomal RNA is filed under the name uncultured bacterium. RNAcentral describes it as "partial 16S ribosomal RNA". It matches the Rfam family "Bacterial small subunit ribosomal RNA", at positions 28 to 507 of the family's 1533-position model. The record is from RNAcentral.
GACGAACGCUGGCGGCGUGCUUAACACAUGCCAGUCGAACGGAAAGGCCCUGCUUUUGUGGGGUGCUCGAGUGGCGAACGGGUGAGUAACACGUGAGUAACCUGCCCUUGACUUUGGGAUAACUUCAGGAAACUGGGGCUAAUACCGGAUAGGAGCUCCUGCUGCAUGGUGGGGGUUGGAAAGUUUCGGCGGUUGGGGAUGGACUCGCGGCUUAUCAGCUUGUUGGUGGGGUAGUGGCUUACCAAGGCUUUGACGGGUAGCCGGCCUGAGAGGGUGACCGGCCACAUUGGGACUGAGAUACGGCCCAGACUCCGACGGGAGGCAGCAGUGGGGAAUAUUGCACAAUGGGCGGAAGCCUGAUGCAGCAACGCCGCGUGCGGGAUGACGGCCUUCGGGUUGUAAACCGCUUUCGCCUGUGACGAAGCGUGAGUGACGGUAAUGGGUGAAGAAGCACCGGCUAACUACGUG